RNAcentral lists this ribosomal RNA (468 nucleotides) under uncultured bacterium. RNAcentral's name for it is "partial 16S ribosomal RNA". It matches the Rfam family "Bacterial small subunit ribosomal RNA", at positions 28 to 507 of the family's 1533-position model. The record is from RNAcentral.
GACGAACGCUGGCGGCGUGCUUAACACAUGCAAGUCGAACGGAAAGGCCCUGCUUUUGUGGGGUGCUCGAGUGGCGAACGGGUGAGUAGCACGUGAGUAACCUGCCCUUGACUUUGGGAUAACUUCAGGAAACUGGGGCUCAUACCGGAUAGGAGCUCCUGCUGCAUGGUGGGGGUUGGAAAGUUUCGGCGGUUGGGGAUGGACUCGCGGCUUAUCAGCUUGUUGGUGGGGUAGUGGCUUACCAAGGCUUUGACGGGUAGCCGGCCUGAGAGGGUGACCGGGCACAUGGGGACUGAGAUACGGACCAGACGCCUACGGGAGGCAGCAGUGGGGAAUAUUGCACAAUGGGCGGAAGCCUGAUGCAGCAACGCCGCGUGCGGGAUGACGGCCUUCGGGUUGUAAACCGCUUUCGCCUGUGACGAAGAGUGAGUGACGGUAAUGGGUAAAGAAGCACCGGCUAACUACGUG